Molecule: long non-coding RNA, 427 nt
Organism: Oreochromis niloticus (Nile tilapia)
Lineage: Eukaryota; Metazoa; Chordata; Actinopteri; Cichliformes; Cichlidae
Exons: 2
Source: RefSeq, a predicted model, not a curated record
ACGGACACAUCUAAACCUGCAGGACACCGGCCCUCGAGGCCUGGAGUUCGACACGUGACUUAAAGGAAUGUGAAGUAAAGUCCUUUCUUAGAAUAAAGUUACUAAACUACAAAGAAUGUGAAUAACAAAAGUAGUAAAUCUGGCUGGUCUGGGGAUUGAACUGCAUCCUGUGAGUCUGCCAAUGAAGAUACCUGGAACGCUGUAGCCAAAGCCUGGGCCCCGUGAAGCGGCUGCUCUGUCAGUCCCACAUAGACUGCCCACAUGGAGGAGUUUACAAACCUGAAACAGCAACAGUGACAGAUGAUAACUGAGAAAAGUUUAUGUCAAUCUAAAAUGUUCCUGAUGUUGGCAUUUAAUAAAUAAACAUACUGAACGUGACAACAACCAUGUCUGGCGUUGUUGACCAGCAGGAUGGUACAUUGACUGG